UCCUACCUGAUGCAGCCAUACGGAAUCUUCCACAAUGGACCAAAGUCUGACAGACCCUCUCCGCGUGAAUGAUAAAGGCUUUCCUCUCAUAAAACUCUGCUGCUAACUACGAACCAGUGCUCGCUGAAUAACCUGGGACCUUGACGGUACCUAACCUCACAGCCACUGCUAACUACGUGCCAGCACCCUCGGUAAUACGUAGAUGGCCAGCGUUAUCCCCACUUAUCGGCCUUAAAUCCCGCACAUCUGGUUUCUUAAAUCUGAUAUGGAAACCCCCAGCUCAACCGUGAAGGUCCAUUAUAAACUGAAAAACUCCAGUGCCGAAGACGAAUCUGUAAUUCCAUGCGUACCCUUAAAAUGCAUAGCGAUAUGGACGAACACCAUUGGCUAACGCGACUUUCUGGUCUGUAACUGACACUGACGCGCCAAAGCGUGGGGAGCUAACUGGAUUAGAUACCCUGGUAUUCCACGUCCCACACGAUGAAUGCUAACUGUUAAA
RNAcentral lists this ribosomal RNA (499 nucleotides) under bacterium A6T_VP7_G3. Its description in RNAcentral is "bacterial SSU rRNA". It matches the Rfam family "Bacterial small subunit ribosomal RNA", at positions 337 to 827 of the family's 1533-position model. The record is from RNAcentral.